Molecule: long non-coding RNA, 691 nt
Organism: Panthera uncia (snow leopard)
Lineage: Eukaryota; Metazoa; Chordata; Mammalia; Carnivora; Felidae
Exons: 6
Source: RefSeq, a predicted model, not a curated record
CCGGAGCAAUGCCCGUUUCUUAGAGAAAGUGGAACAGGGGAGUCGGCGUUUUCUCCAGUUCAGACUCCUGCUUAUACCGUGGCAGGUCUGUUCAUUCAGGGAGGCUAUGAAAUACAAUUACUUAUAAAAGUCAAGACAUCUAGGCGUACAUUUCCAUCUAUCUGGGAUGAUACAGACAUGGUCCUACCUAAAAGCCAGAUGAAUAGCUGAAUUAUUUUUAUCAUUCCAAAACUUCCACUUUUCCAUUCUUUGUGACUCUGUUGUCUGACAGUCAAAAGGUCCCAUCAUCCACGCUGUAAGGAUAAAGAACUUCCUAAAGCUGAGCCUAAACACAGUGAUUUUUUGCAGGGAAGAUGUUACCUUAACCUAAUCGAAUAGCAUCUCAGUGGGGAAAAGUCAAGGAAGAGGAAAGGAUAUCAGUGUUGCAUGUACAAAGAGGAAAAGCCAUGUGAACACACAGCAAAAAGGUGGCUGUCUGCAAAUCAAGGAGAGAAGCCUCAGGAAAAACCAAACCUGCCAGAACCUUAAUUUUGGACUUCUAGCCUCCAGAACUUUCCAUCCUCAGGCUCAAGCAGGAAUUUAUUCUGGUUUAGUGAUAUUAUCCUGCCAUCAUCCAGCCGGCUCACAUCCUCUGCACCAUCUGUUUGUGAUAUAUCUUCACUACAGCUUUUGUUACAAGAAGGAAAGUAUU